This 253-nucleotide ribosomal RNA is filed under the name uncultured bacterium. RNAcentral describes it as "partial 16S ribosomal RNA". It matches the Rfam family "Bacterial small subunit ribosomal RNA", at positions 524 to 776 of the family's 1533-position model. The record is from RNAcentral.
UACGUAGGGUGCAAGCGUUGUCCGGAAUUAUUGGGCGUAAAGAGCUCGUAGGCGGUUCGUCGCGUCGGCUGUGAAAACCCGGAGCUCAACUCCGGGCCUGCAGUCGAUACGGGCGGACUUGAGUGUUGCAGGGGAGACUGGAAUUCCUGGUGUAGCGGUGGAAUGCGCAGAUAUCAGGAAGAACACCCGUGGCUAAGGCGGCUCUCUAGUACGGUACUGACGCUGAGACGCGAAAGCGUGGGGAGCGAACAGG